UACAUGGGUAACCUACCCUCAGGUGGGGAAUAACUUCCCGAAAGGGAUGCUAAUGCCGACGAUACCCACCGGCCUCAUAAGAGGCUGUUGGAAAGCCGAACCGAGGGUUCGGCGCCUAAGGAUGGGCUCAUGUCCUAUCAGCUUGUUGGCGGGGUAAUGGCCCACCAAGGCUGCGACGGGUAGCUGGUCUGAGAGGACGACCAGCCACACUGGCACUGCGACACGGGCCAG
Molecule: ribosomal RNA, 231 nt
Filed under: uncultured bacterium
Lineage: Bacteria
Description: partial 16S ribosomal RNA
Rfam family: Bacterial small subunit ribosomal RNA
Source: RNAcentral